GGAAGAUGCCGCUAAAUGGUCGGCAACUGGUCUUGAAAACCAGGGUACAGUCAACUGUAGGGGUUCGAUUCCUCCAUCUUCCGCC
Molecule: transfer RNA, 85 nt
Filed under: Tolypothrix tenuis PCC 7101
Lineage: Bacteria; Bacillati; Cyanobacteriota; Cyanophyceae; Nostocales; Tolypothrichaceae
Also listed under: 1 other name
Description: tRNA-Ser
Source: RNAcentral